Bos indicus x Bos taurus (hybrid cattle) is the source of this 1016-nucleotide long non-coding RNA. NCBI's taxonomy places the organism in Eukaryota, Metazoa, Chordata, Mammalia, Artiodactyla, Bovidae. The record is from Ensembl.
UCAAAUGACUUCACUUUUCUUUUCAAGUAGGAAUACCAUUCGCUACAUAACCCCCACCUGUGAAACUGCUAACUAGCAUCCCCCCUUUCCCAUCUUUCCCAAUUCUAACUCAGAAUUUCCCAAACAGCUCAUCUUGCCUUCUUCCUUACUAGAUUCAGUCUGGACUCUUCACCACAGCUGCUGCCACUGUGUGGUGAUGGUGGUUUCGUCGCUUUAGUCAUGUCGGACUCUUUGCCACCCCAUGGACUAUAGUUUGCCAGGCUCCUUUGUCCAUGGGAUUCUCCAGGCAAGAACACUUGAAGUGGGUUGCCAUUUCCUUCUCCAGGGGAUCCUCCCAACUCAGGAAUUAAACCCAGUUGCCUGCAUUGCAGGCAGAUUCUUUACCAACUCAGCUACGAGGGAAGCCCCACUAUGUGGCCUCUGUUGAAACGCUGCUUUACUGGUAACCCGCACAGUGACCCUCUCCCCUUUCCAGGAUGCCAAAGCUGCCCUGUGGCAUGAGAAAGUCAGUGACCCGUCUCCAACUCUAUCAGCUUUGUUCCUGUGAUCCAGUGCACAGCAUCUGCUCAGAGCUUGCUUGUUUGUUUUUAAUACAUCUAUUUCCUGCCAUACACCUCUCCAGACCAUGGCUGUGUCUUGAUACCUGGAGUAAUGCAAACCUUCACAGGGCAAGAGCUGGUACUUUUGGCCCCUGCUACUGCUUCUGAGAAACCAGUAGCAUAAGGUUGAUGGUGCAUCAGCUACAACUGGGGUCAACUGGGAAGCUUUGUUCCAGGUUAUGCUUUGGCUUCAGCUCUGUUCCACUGGGGCCUUAGCUGAAGGAGGAGGAGCUUCUUGGGAAUUCUCUUCUCAUGGCAGAUAACCAAACAAGUCGUGUGUCUUGAGACCUCAGACUGGCAAGUUUCCAUGUCCACCUGUAUUUCUUCAGCUCAAACAAGUCAUAUUGCCCAGCCACCAACAUGGCAGAAAAUAUCUGCUGCUUACUCUAAUAAAGCAAUGUCCCAAAGGAAAGGGCA